This 253-nucleotide ribosomal RNA is filed under the name uncultured bacterium. Its description in RNAcentral is "partial 16S ribosomal RNA". It matches the Rfam family "Bacterial small subunit ribosomal RNA", at positions 524 to 776 of the family's 1533-position model. The record is from RNAcentral.
UACGUAGGGGGCUAGCGUUGUCCGGAAUCAUUGGGCGUAAAGCGCGUGUAGGCGGCCCGGUAAGUCCGCUGUGAAAGUCCAGGGCUCAACCCUGGGAUGCCGGUGGAUACUGUCGGGCUCGAGUCCGGAAGAGGCGAGUGGAAUUCCGAGUGUAGCAGUGAAAUGUGUAGAUAUUCGGAAGAACACCGGUGGCGAAGGCGGUUACCUGGAGCUUUGCUGACGCUGAUGCGCGAAAGCGUGGGGAGCGAUCCGG